RNAcentral lists this ribosomal RNA (490 nucleotides) under uncultured bacterium. RNAcentral's name for it is "partial 16S ribosomal RNA". It matches the Rfam family "Bacterial small subunit ribosomal RNA", at positions 30 to 507 of the family's 1533-position model. The record is from RNAcentral.
AUUGAACGCUGGCGGCAGGCCUAACACAUGCAAGUCGAACGGUAACAGGAAACAGCUUGCUGUUUCGCUGACGAGUGGCGGACGGGUGAGUAAUGUCUGGGAAACUGCCUGAUGGAGGGGGAUAACUACUGGAAACGGUAGCUAAUACCGCAUAACGUCGCAAGACCAAAGAGGGGGACCCUCGGGCCUCUUGCCAUCGGAUGUGCCCAGAUGGGAUUAGCUUGUUGGUGGGGUAACGGCUCACCAAGGCGACGAUCCCUAGCUGGUCUGAGAGGAUGACCAGCCACACUGGAACUGAGACACGGUCCAGACUCCUACGGGAGGCAGCAGUGGGGAAUAUUGCACAAUGGGCGCAAGCCUGAUGCAGCCAUGCCGCGUGUAUGAAGAAGGCCUUCGGGUUGUAAAGUACUUUCAGCGGGGAGGAAGGGAGUAAAGUUGAUACCUUUGCUCAUUGACGUUACCCGCAGAAGAAGCACCGGCUAACUCCGUG